UACGUAGGGGGCAAGCGUUGUCCGGAAUCAUUGGGCGUAAAGAGCGUGUAGGCGGUCCGGUAAGUCGGCUGUGAAAGUCCAGGGCUCAACCCUGGGAUGCCGGUCGAUACUGCCGGACUAGAGUUCGGAAGAGGCGAGUGGAAUUCCUGGUGUAGCAGUGAAAUGCGUAGAUAUCAGGAGGAAUACCGAUGGCGAAGGCAGGUCUCUGGGCUAGAACUGACGCUCAUGCACGAAAGCGUGGGGAGCAAACAGG
RNAcentral lists this ribosomal RNA (253 nucleotides) under uncultured bacterium. Its description in RNAcentral is "partial 16S ribosomal RNA". It matches the Rfam family "Bacterial small subunit ribosomal RNA", at positions 524 to 776 of the family's 1533-position model. The record is from RNAcentral.